GGGUCGUUAGCUCAGUUGGUAGAGCAGUUGACUUUUAAUCAAUUGGUCGCAGGUUCGAAUCCCGCACGGCCCACCA
RNAcentral lists this transfer RNA (76 nucleotides) under Serratia proteamaculans. RNAcentral's name for it is "tRNA-Lys(ttt)". It matches the Rfam family "tRNA". From Rfam's summary of the family: Transfer RNA (tRNA) molecules are approximately 80 nucleotides in length. Their secondary structure includes four short double-helical elements and three loops (D, anti-codon, and T loops). Lineage: Bacteria; Pseudomonadati; Pseudomonadota; Gammaproteobacteria; Enterobacterales; Yersiniaceae. The record is from RNAcentral. RNAcentral also lists the same sequence under 2 other names.